CGAAAGCCUGACGGAGCAAGACCGCGUGAGGGAGGAAGGUCUGUGGAUUGUAAACCUCUUUUCUCAGGGAAGAAGAACUGACGGUACCUGAGGAAUCAGCAUCGGCUAACUCCGUGCCAGCAGCCGCGGUAAUACGGAGGAUGCAAGCGUUAUCCGGAAUUAUUGGGCGUAAAGAGUCCGUAGGUGGUUUCACAAGUCUACUGUCAAAGCCCGCAGCUUAACUGCGGAGAGGCGGUGGAAACUGUGAGACUAGAGUGUGAUAGGGGUAGAGGGAAUUCCCAGUGUAGCGGUGAAAUGCGUAGAUAUUGGGAAGAACACCGGUGGCGAAAGCGCUCUACUGGAUCAUAACUGACACUGAGGGACGAAAGCCAAGGUAGCG
RNAcentral lists this ribosomal RNA (379 nucleotides) under uncultured cyanobacterium. RNAcentral describes it as "bacterial SSU rRNA". It matches the Rfam family "Bacterial small subunit ribosomal RNA", at positions 376 to 770 of the family's 1533-position model. Lineage: Bacteria; Bacillati; Cyanobacteriota. The record is from RNAcentral.